AAGUAAACAUUCUAGUUGAUACAUCAAAUGAUGAAACUACUCCUUCUUAGAUAAUCAAGUACGAACAAUUGCCUGCAUUAGCCAAUAUACCCACAGCUUUGUCAUUAGAAUCACCACCUAUGCUAGAAUUAAAGCCUCUUCCAGCCACACUCAAAUAUGCAUUCCUAGGACCUAAUCACACCCUCCCAGUGAUCAUUGCAUCAGACUUGACCCU
This 214-nucleotide long non-coding RNA is filed under the name Elaeis guineensis (African oil palm). Its description in RNAcentral is "long non-coding RNA (EGUI_LNC078029)". The record is from RNAcentral. Lineage: Eukaryota; Viridiplantae; Streptophyta; Magnoliopsida; Arecales; Arecaceae.